UACGUAGGGGGCAAGCGUUAUCCGGAUUUACUGGGUGUAAAGGGAGCGUAGACGGUUCAGCAAGUCUGAUGUGAAAGCCCAGGGCUUAACCCUGGGACUGCAUUGGAAACUGUCGGACUAGAGUGCAGGAGAGGUAAGUGGAAUUCCUAGUGUAGCGGUGAAAUGCGUAGAUAUUAGGAGGAACACCAGUGGCGAAGGCGGCUUACUGGACUGUAACUGACGUUGAGGCUCGAAAGCGUGGGGAGCAAACAGG
This 253-nucleotide ribosomal RNA is filed under the name uncultured bacterium. Its description in RNAcentral is "partial 16S ribosomal RNA". It matches the Rfam family "Bacterial small subunit ribosomal RNA", at positions 524 to 776 of the family's 1533-position model. The record is from RNAcentral.